ACGUACGCUGGCGGCACGCCUAACACAUGCAAGUCGAACGAAGUAGCAAUACUUAGUGGCAGACGGGUGAGUAACAUGUAGGUAUCUGCCCUUUGGCCUGGAAUAACACGAGGAAACUUGUGCUAAUACCGGAUAAGUCUUUACGGAGAAAGCUUUAUGCACCAUUGGAUGAGCCUGCACUUGAUUAGUUUGUUGGUGGGGUAAUGGCCUACCAAGACUGUGAUCAAUAGCUGAUUUGAGAGGAUGAUCAGCCACAUUGGGACUGAGACACGGCCCAAACUCCUACGGGAGGCAGCAGUGGGGAAUCUUGCACAAUGGAGGAAACUCUGAUGCAGCGAUGCCGCGUGAGUGAAGAAGGCCUUUGGGUUGUAAAGCUCUUUCGUCGGGGAAGAAAAUGACUGUACCCGAAUAAGAAGGUCCGGCUAACUUCGUGCCAGCAGCCGCGGUAAUACGAAGGGACCUAGCGUAGUUCGGAAUUACUGGGCUUAAAGAGUUCGUAGGUGGUUGAAAAAGUUAGUGGUGAAAUCCCAGAGCUUAACUCUGGAACUGCCAUUAAAACUUUUCAGCUAGAGUAUGAUAGAGGAAAGCAGAAUUUCUAGUGUAGAGGUGAAAUUCGUAGAUAUUAGAAAGAAUACCAAUUGCGAAGGCAGCUUUCUGGAUCAUUACUGACACUGAGGAACGAAAGCAUGGGUAGCGAAGAGGAUUAGAUACCCUCGUAGUCCAUGCCGUAAACGAUGUGUGUUAGACGUUGGAAAUUUAUUUUCAGUGUCGCAGGGAAACCGAUAAACACACCGCCUGGGGAGUACGACCGCAAGGUUAAAACUCAAAUGAAUUGACGGGGACCCGCACAAGUAGUGGAGCAUGUGGUUUAAUUCGAAGAUACGCGCAGAACCUUCCCAACACUUGACAUGUUCGUCGCGACUCUAAGAGAUUAGAGUUUUCGGUUCGGCCGGACGAAACACAGGUGCUGCAUGGCUGUCGUCAGCUCGUGUCGUGAGAUGUUGGGUUAAGUCCCGCAACGAGCGCAACCCUCACUUUUAGUUGCCAUCAUUAAGUUGGGCACUCUGAAAGAACUGCCAGUGAUAAGCUGGAGGAAGGUGGGGAUGACGUCAAGUCCUCAUGGCCCUUACGUGUUGGGCUACACACGUGCUACAAUGGUAUCUACAACAGGAAGCAAGACUGCGAAGUUAAGCAAAUCCCUAAAAGAUACCUCAGUUCGGAUUGCACUCUGCAACUCGAGUGCAUGAAGCUGGAAUUACUAGUAAUCGUGGAUCAGCGUGCCACGGUGAAUGCGUUCCCGGGUCUUGUACACACC
Molecule: ribosomal RNA, 1315 nt
Filed under: uncultured Alphaproteobacteria bacterium
Lineage: Bacteria; Pseudomonadati; Pseudomonadota; Alphaproteobacteria
Description: bacterial SSU rRNA
Rfam family: Bacterial small subunit ribosomal RNA
Source: RNAcentral